Molecule: long non-coding RNA, 264 nt
Filed under: Mytilus galloprovincialis (Mediterranean mussel)
Lineage: Eukaryota; Metazoa; Mollusca; Bivalvia; Mytilida; Mytilidae
Source: RNAcentral
UGUAAUUUACGGUGGCAGAAUGCGGCCAUGAAAGAAAAAAAAAUUAUGUUGUUCCCUCAAGAUACUAUGUCGUUCCCUCAAGAUGCUAUGUCGUUCCCACAAGAUAGUUAUCUCGUUCCCUCAAGAUACUAUGUCGUUCCCUCAAGAUAGUUAUCUCGUUCCCUCAAGAUACUAUGUCGUUCCCUCAAGAUAGUUAUCUCGUUCCCUCAACAUAGCAAUACAAUUAUAUUGAUUUAUUCUUUAUUUCCAACUUCGAAACGGUGG